GGCCCCAUGGUCAAGCGGUAAAGACGCUGCCCUCUCAAGGCGGAAACAGGGGUUCGAUUCCCCUUGGGGCUACCA
RNAcentral lists this transfer RNA (75 nucleotides) under Sporotomaculum syntrophicum. RNAcentral describes it as "tRNA-Glu". It matches the Rfam family "tRNA". Rfam says of the family: Transfer RNA (tRNA) molecules are approximately 80 nucleotides in length. Their secondary structure includes four short double-helical elements and three loops (D, anti-codon, and T loops). Lineage: Bacteria; Bacillati; Bacillota; Clostridia; Eubacteriales; Desulfallaceae. RNAcentral also lists the same sequence under 1 other name. The record is from RNAcentral.